ACAGCGUGGUGGGGACAUUUACGAAUAAGGUCCCUUAACUUUUCCCAUGUCUCAUGAAAAAGUUUACCAUCCAAUUGAAAAAAACUAAUGAUGGCUUUUUUAAUUUU
This is a small nucleolar RNA of Elaeis guineensis (African oil palm), 107 nucleotides long. The record is from RefSeq and is a predicted model, not a curated record. NCBI's taxonomy places the organism in Eukaryota, Viridiplantae, Streptophyta, Magnoliopsida, Arecales, Arecaceae.